CCUACGGGUGGCAGCAGUUGGGAAUAUUGGACAAUGGGCGAAAGCCUGAUCCAGCCAUGCCGCGUGUGUGAAGAAGGCCUUCGGGUUGUAAAGCACUUUCAGUGGGGAAGAAAGCCUUGGGGCUAAUACCCUCGAGGAAGGACAUCACCCACAGAAGAAGCACCGGCUAACUCCGUGCCAGCAGCCGCGGUAAUACGGAGGGUGCGAGCGUUAAUCGGAAUUACUGGGCGUAAAGCGCGCGUAGGCGGUCUGAUAAGCCGGUUGUGAAAGCCCCGGGCUCAACCUGGGAACGGCAUCCGGAACUGUCAGGCUAGAGUGCAGGAGAGGAAGGUAGAAUUCCCGGUGUAGCGGUGAAAUGCGUAGAGAUCGGGAGGAAUACCAGUGGCGAAGGCGACCUUCUGGACUGACACUGACGCUGAGGUGCGAAAGCGUGGGUAGCAAACAGGAUUAGAUACCCUGGUAGUC
This 465-nucleotide ribosomal RNA is filed under the name Vreelandella stevensii. RNAcentral's name for it is "partial 16S ribosomal RNA". It matches the Rfam family "Bacterial small subunit ribosomal RNA", at positions 338 to 795 of the family's 1533-position model. The record is from RNAcentral. Lineage: Bacteria; Pseudomonadati; Pseudomonadota; Gammaproteobacteria; Oceanospirillales; Halomonadaceae.